RNAcentral lists this ribosomal RNA (253 nucleotides) under uncultured bacterium. RNAcentral's name for it is "partial 16S ribosomal RNA". It matches the Rfam family "Bacterial small subunit ribosomal RNA", at positions 524 to 776 of the family's 1533-position model. The record is from RNAcentral.
UACGUAGGUGGCAAGCGUUGUCCGGAAUUACUGGGCGUAAAGCGCGCGUAGACGGCUUAAUAAGUCAGAUGUGAAAGACCCGGGCUCAACUCGGGGGUUGCAUCUGAGACUGUUGAGCUUGAGUGCAGGAGAGGCAAGUGGAAUUCCCAGUGUAGCAGUGAAAUGCGUAGAGAUUGGGAGGAACACCAGUGGCGAAGGCGACUUGCUGGACUGUAACUGACGUUGAGGUGCGAAAGCUAGGGGAGCAAACGGG